RNAcentral lists this ribosomal RNA (253 nucleotides) under uncultured bacterium. RNAcentral's name for it is "partial 16S ribosomal RNA". It matches the Rfam family "Bacterial small subunit ribosomal RNA", at positions 524 to 776 of the family's 1533-position model. The record is from RNAcentral.
UACAGAGGGUGCGAGCGUUGUCCGGAAUCACUGGGCGUAAAGGGCGCGUAGGUGGCCUGGUAAGUAGGGGGUGAAAUCUCGCGGCUCAACUGCGAGGCUGCCUCCUAAACUGUCAGGCUCGAGCAGAGUAGAGGCAGGUGGAAUUCCCGGUGUAGCGGUGGAAUGCGUAGAGAUCGGGAAGAACAUCGGUGGCGAAGGCGGCCUGCUGGGCUGUUGCUGACACUGAUGCGCGAAAGCGUGGGGAGCAAACAGG